CCCAUCUAUCAAAUACGAUCGUGCCCUAGGCACGAUCGUGGAAGGGGAAACGCAGAGAGAGGGGGUGGGGGCGGCGGCAUUAGACGGGAUCAAUCGCCGGAGGAGGCAGAUCGUCGGGGGAGGGUGAACGCCGGGGAAGGCGGCGGAUUUCGCGAGCCGGCCGGUCAAGGAGGAGGAUCCCUACCAAAUGCACGAAGAGGCCUCGGAUCCGUGGGUUUACUCACGGAUUUCUCCACCGAUUUCUCGCCGGAAGGGCCGCCGGAGCAUCCCGCCGGACCGAGGGGAAGAGUCAACGGAGCCAGGAGAUUUUGAUAAGGGGACUCAGCACCCCAGCGAGUAGGUUGUGACUCGGAUCCGUGAUUGAGUCAGUCUACAAUUUCAAGGCACUGGAUUUGUAGAGACCAUUGGGUGGGACGAGAAAUAAGAUCAGCAUGGAGUCUGAUUGCUGGAUAGAUAGGAGUUAAUCUAUCUUUUAUUUAUGGACAUUUGAAAUUAUGUAAUAAAUCAGUACAUUUUAGUUGGAUUUGAUUGAAUUACAUUAAUCUUUGAUUUUGGCA
Non-coding RNA from Phoenix dactylifera (date palm), 557 nucleotides. The record is from RefSeq and is a predicted model, not a curated record. Lineage: Eukaryota; Viridiplantae; Streptophyta; Magnoliopsida; Arecales; Arecaceae.